Long non-coding RNA from Rhipicephalus sanguineus (brown dog tick), 372 nucleotides. RefSeq lists it as uncharacterized. The transcript has 3 exons. The record is from RefSeq and is a predicted model, not a curated record. NCBI's taxonomy places the organism in Eukaryota, Metazoa, Arthropoda, Arachnida, Ixodida, Ixodidae.
GGGAAACGACGUACGACAUCACGCUGGGCUACCAGGGUAGAGAGAGUGGAGUCCCAUUCAAUGGGUACUACUACCUGAACAUGAAGCUUACAAUCCCAGUCCGCUACGUGGCCAUAUUGAAGACCAUCCCAAUGUACACGUCGACAACCGUGUUGGCGGUGAUCGGCGGCUACCUGGGGUUCUGGCUGGGACUCUCCAUGUACAGCGGUGUCACCAAGAUACUCCUCCGCGUCCAGGCCGUCAUCGCAAAACGCAUGAAAGACCCACUCAACAAGGCCAGGUCGAUGCCUCUGUAUCAUUAUACUAGACGGCUAUCAACUUAUCCCACGACUGGCGUCGCUUCUUUUCCUGUAAAAUUGUCACGUGAACCAA